Molecule: long non-coding RNA, 259 nt
Organism: Bombyx mori (domestic silkworm)
Lineage: Eukaryota; Metazoa; Arthropoda; Insecta; Lepidoptera; Bombycidae
Exons: 2
Source: RefSeq, a predicted model, not a curated record
GAACUAUUUAAGGAAAUCAUUUCGUUGAAAUUGUUAUAACACGUCAUGUUGAACGAAUCGAAAUGACCAGGAAUGAACGAACCUACAGUAAACCGACUCAAAAAUAUAAAAAAUCGCUGAUAUUAUUUAAGAUGGAUAUCGAAUUCUACGACGCCUAAAGUAAGCACCGGUGACUUGCAAGUACAGCUUGCUUCAAUUUAAACUUACAAUAACGCACUGAACGUAUUGAUUUUCGAAUUAAACGAGUUUGAAUUUCGUA